AUGGCAUAUUCAGACCAUAUUUGGAUUUUGUCCUUCAUAUUUGGAUUUUCUUUAUAUGACUAUGAAUGCAUAACCCCAGCAUCAGCCUGUCUGCCCUCCCCUUUAUUCCUACCAGCCCCGUAUUCUUUGUGUUCUGUAUCUUCCUAUGUAUGUUUUAGGAAACAAGAGGGCUUAUCGUCCGUCCUUCCUGACAUUUCUCACUGCCACUCUGCACUAGACUCCAUUCACGUUCACUACCUGGAAAUCCUGGACCAGGGGAUAAGGAGCACUGGCAUCACCUCGCGGCCUGCAGGUCGUUCCUCUCAGAUGACCUCUGAUUGCUGCACUGGGCACUGGACCUACAAGAAGCAAAGGAGGCCAAGAAGAGGAAGAGGCGGGUGCUGCCAGCACCCAGUUGCCGCCGAAGGCACUUGCUCUGUUGUGAGCCCAGUACCAGGCAAUGCAUUGGUCCCUUCCGCCCCAAGCGCCAUGCCUGCCCAGGUCAGUCAUCUCUGGGUUCCCGAUUCUUCCGCAUCUCAUCUCCCACCCACGUGAAGUCUGUGUUGUCCUGGAGUCAGGGAGCAAGGGCCUUCCCUAUUUCUUGCUUGUAAUCCCAGUUGAACUCCUGACUUCUGAUACUGAUUCUCCUCAGUAGGUUUGCCCCUUUGGAGGCCAGAAAGUCUCCUCCUCCUGCUCUUUGCCCCACUGCUGGCCAUCUCUGGGUGCACGGUGUCAUGCACAGUGUGCAACGGGAGCGGUUUCUUUGCUCCUUCUUGAUUCUCGUGCUUUCUCUUCCUUCUUUUUAAAACAUUUAGCUGCACCCAGAGUUUUCCGAGCAGCACUGAGACACCCCAUGUCCCCUUGCUCCCAAUGACAGUCUCAUGGAUCUGUCAUAAUGCAUCUCUCACAGCGUCUAGCACCGGCCAGACACUUGGUGAAGUUGACCCGCAUGUCUGAAAUGGGACGUUGCUGAAAUGGUAACUGUGUGGGGUUUAUACGCUGGAGGGCUUUAUGUCAGAGCAGGGUUUCUCAAACUCGGCGCUAAUGACAUUUGGGGCCAGGUAAUUCUUUUGUUGUGCGGCUCUCUCUCCUGUGCAUUGCAGGAUUUUUAGCAGCAUCUCUGGGGUCUACCUCCCCCAAAUUGGUUGUCCUCCCAGAUAACCAAAACUAUCUUCUCCAGGCACUGCCAAAUGUCCCCUGGGUGCAAAAUGCUCACUGCCCAGAACCCUGCACGAGGCUUCUACUCCCACUUUCCUCUGAUGGACUUCUAAAUGCUAGAAGGUGCAGGUCUGCUCUCUGGGGCCGUCCAGCGAUUUGAGGGACACCCUAAUUUAUUUGAGAGAUUGACGCUCGGCUGCUGAAUAUGCCGGAGGGAGUGAAGUGGUCUCAUAAAGAGGCUUUCUCAUAAAGACUUCUGAUGAAUCCUCCUGUUUCCUGCCGGCUCAGUCUGUGGAGCCUGGGUCCUAACUUCUGAGCAUCCCCUUCCAGUCGUGUCCUCCCCCCUCGCUCCCCUCCCUCACCACCCGCCUUCAGUGCUCUGGGCAGCUGCUUCCUC
This 1534-nucleotide long non-coding RNA is filed under the name Felis catus (domestic cat). Its description in RNAcentral is "lncRNA (ENSFCAG00000048255.1)". Lineage: Eukaryota; Metazoa; Chordata; Mammalia; Carnivora; Felidae. The record is from RNAcentral.